Molecule: ribosomal RNA, 495 nt
Filed under: uncultured bacterium
Lineage: Bacteria
Description: bacterial SSU rRNA
Rfam family: Bacterial small subunit ribosomal RNA
Source: RNAcentral
GAUGAACGCUAGCGGCAGGCUUAACACAUGCAAGUCGAGGGGUAGGUUACUUCGGUAAUUGAGACCGGCGCACGGGUGCGUAACGCGUAUACAAUCUACCUUUUACAGAGGGAUAGCCCAGAGAAAUUUGGAUUAAUACCUCAUAGUAUUUUUGAAUCGCAUGAUUUGAUUAUUAAAGUUCCAACGGUAAAAGAUGAGUAUGCGUCCCAUUAGCUAGAUGGUAAGGUAACGGCUUACCAUGGCUACGAUGGGUAGGGGUCCUGAGAGGGAGAUCCCCCACACUGGUACUGAGACACGGACCAGACUCCUACGGGAGGCAGCAGUGAGGAAUAUUGGACAAUGGGCGCAAGCCUGAUCCAGCCAUGCCGCGUGCAGGAUGACGGUCCUAUGGAUUGUAAACUGCUUUUUGUACAGGAAGAAACACUACUUCGUGAAGUAGCUUGACGGUACUGUAAGAAUAAGGAUCGGNUAACNCGUGCAGCAGCCGCGGUAAAG